UACGAGGGGCAAGCGUUGUUCGGAAUUAUUGGGCGUAAAGGGCGCGUAGGCGGUUUGACAAGUCUGAUGUGAAAUCUCUGGGCUCAAACCCAGAGUCCGCAUUAGAAACUGUCGGGCUUGAGUAUGGGAGAGGUGAGUGGAAUUUCCGGUGUAGCGGUGAAAUGCGUAGAUAUCUGGAGGAACACCGGUGGCGAAGGCGGCAUCCUGGACCAUUACUGACACUGAAAAGCGAAAGCCAGGGAGCAAACGGG
Molecule: ribosomal RNA, 251 nt
Filed under: uncultured bacterium
Lineage: Bacteria
Description: partial 16S ribosomal RNA
Rfam family: Bacterial small subunit ribosomal RNA
Source: RNAcentral